Molecule: long non-coding RNA, 1010 nt
Organism: Ailuropoda melanoleuca (giant panda)
Lineage: Eukaryota; Metazoa; Chordata; Mammalia; Carnivora; Ursidae
Exons: 4
Source: RefSeq, a predicted model, not a curated record
ACAGAUAAUGAGAAAGCAUGCCUCAAAAGGUCAGUGGGCAUGAGGCCAGCAUUUGCCCAUCCCUAAUGGACAAGACCAGUGGUCAGAAACUAUCCCUCCCUCAAAGGCCAGAACCAGUUGCUUGUUGGUCCUUGAGCUAAGAAUGGUUGUGAGCUUUUCGAAGGACUGAGCCAAGACAUUGUUUACAUUUUAAAAGGUUGUUUAAACAUAAAGGAGAAAUCUGUGACAAGACCAUGGACGGCCCACAAAGCCUAAAAUAUUUACCAUCUGGCCCUUCACAACAAGUUCUCCAACCCUGCACCAGGCCAACACCCCUAUUUUGGCUUCUGUUACAGGUGGCACCCCACUUUUAAGUGCUACAUUCUGAAUUCACUAGGACUGGGCACUACCCAGAAUGGUUUACAUCAGUGGCUGACACCCCACUGAGCAGCACGUGACCACAUGGCCACGCCGAGGAACAGGGGAGGACGUGAAAUGUCAUCCUCAUCUGGGCAACUAUAAAAAAUCACUUUGCUAUGGAAGAAAGGAAUAAUGAAUAUUGAGAACCAGCAGAGUUUGCCAUAACACCUACCCCUCCAGGAAAGUGGUGAGGGCUACAUGAACUAAGGCCCAGGAGGUCAGCUGACACCCCUUCCUUCACCAACGACAAGCAAGCCCAUCUAUCAUUGCUUCAGUGAAAGUAUCUGGCCGAACAUCAAACGGACUCCAUGCAAGCCUUUCUGGCUCUGGUUUUCCGAAAGCUUUAGCAAUUCAAAAAUUUACAGGGUUUUUGGAGGAAGUUAAAGAGUGGGAGAAGUCCUGUCUACCCCUGACCUCCUUGCCAGGAUGCAGUGGCAAGACUGGCGGCAACAGCAGCAGAGAGGCACCCCCAACCCCCCCACCCCAGAAGACUCCUCUCUCCAGGCAGAGGAGGAAGAGUAAUGGAGAGAACCCUCAUUGUAACUAUUCUCUCUGGCCUCUUUACCCAGAGAGCAGACCCAGUGGUACAGAGCUGCAUGAGAACACAGGAA